This 494-nucleotide ribosomal RNA is filed under the name uncultured bacterium. RNAcentral's name for it is "partial 16S ribosomal RNA". It matches the Rfam family "Bacterial small subunit ribosomal RNA", at positions 28 to 507 of the family's 1533-position model. The record is from RNAcentral.
GACGAACGCUGGCGGCGCGCUUAACACAUGCAAGUCGAACGGAAAGGCCUGCUUUCCCUUGUGGAUUGCGGGUACUCGAGUGGCGAACGGGUGAGUAACACGUGAGUGAUCUGCCCCCAACUUGGGUAUAAGCCUGGGAAACUGGGUCUAAUUCCCGAUAGGACUGCAGGGUGGUGCCUGUGGUGGAAAACGAUUUUCUAGUGGUUGGGGAUGAGCUCGCGGCCUAUCAGCUUGUUGGUGGGGUAAUGGCCUACCACGGCGGCGACGGGUAGCCGGCCUGAGAAGGGGGACGGCCAGAUUGGGCCUGAGAUACGGCCCAGACACCUACGGGAGGCAGCAGUGGGGAAUAUUGAACAAUGGGAGGAAGCCUGAUGCAGCGACGCCGCGUGGGGGAUGACGGCCUUCGGGUUGUAAACUCCUUUCGACCGCGAGGAAGCCACCUGGUUGGAAGGGUGGUGACGGUAGUGGUAGAAGAAGCACCGGCUAACUACGUG